Long non-coding RNA from Ictalurus punctatus (channel catfish), 1630 nucleotides. NCBI's taxonomy places the organism in Eukaryota, Metazoa, Chordata, Actinopteri, Siluriformes, Ictaluridae. The record is from Ensembl.
AAAAAACCCAACAAAAUCAGAACAAAACGCAGGCCUGCGGUGUUAACAUCUGAACUCGGUUUCAUCCUAACCGCGCCUUUCCUAACCCAAACAUACCAAUCCGCACCUUCAGACUUAACGCUCUGCAGCUAUUGCAUGAACUGUUUGCUGAAAUGUGAUGUGAAGGAGUGCGUUCGUGACUUUCGCUCCUUCUGAAGAGUACGGUGCAGAAAUAUGAAAAGCGCGGCGGAGAACGAGAGGCGUGGGUGAGUGAUUGAUUGAAAGGAAGGAAUUCAAAUAAAGGAGAAAAGCAAAGAGAGAAAGAGAGAAAUGGAGGAAGAGAGGAUAGGCAUCAGCUUUGAUGAUUACUGUCUCCGGCAGGAGAGCUAAUAUUAGCCUACAGAGUAAACAAAACUACGGACUGCGCAGAUACUGUAAUCAAAAGUCUGACUUCCGGAGAAUCGGGGCCAAUUACAGCUCGGAGAGACAGAAAUACAAAUAAGGGAGAGAGAGAGAGAGAGAGAGAGAGAGAGACAGAGACAGAGAGAGAGACAGUGAGGGAGAGACAGAAACACAAAUAAGGGAGGUCGAGAGGGAGAGAGAGAGAGAGAGAGAGAGAGAGACAGUGAGGGAGAGACAGAAACACAAAUAAGGGAGGUCGAGAGGGAGAAAGGGAGAGACAGAAACACAAAUAAGGGAGGUCGAGAGGGAGAGAGACAGAGAGAGAGACAGUGAGGGAGAGACAGAGACAGGCCUUUAAUUUAAAAAACUGUAAUACUCAGGCUGAUACAGGACUUAAGAGGUCACGCUAAUGACAGGAGAAGCUCUAAUGGAGACCGGCGCACGAAAGCCAGUGAUUGGCAAGUGACAGCAUCGAGUGACAGCUGAAACAGCCAGACUCGGUGGCACCUAGAAAUACACGAACACUCAAUGACUCACGCUUGCUAAUUCACGGCCGUAAAUGUGCUUUUAACCAACACAACUUAAACAGAAGAACAAAAAGACAUGCGCCGUCCUCCGUGCAUUACUCAGGCCCGCGUCCUAAUCAGCAUUCCACAUCUCUGAAACAAAGCUUUGCACGUAAUUUAUUGACUGUGCUGGACAAAGAGAUUGAUUCCGGAGUGCUCAUGGGAGUGCGUGAGGUUGUGUAAUGAUAAGUUAUAAAGCACGCAAUGCAUUCAGCUAAAAAUCAUGAGGCUUCGAUGUGCUGACAGAGUGACAGACGACGUGACGUCUCUGGAUCGCUCGACUUCCUUCCCUACGUACCGUAAACAGAAAGAAAGAAACAUCCAUGGUGGGAAGCCGUGAAACAUGUGACCACACUGUAGGCUCGGAGGAACUUCACACAUGACCUUUUGGUUUCAUGGGAUAUGUGAUCUUUUGCUUCUGUGGGAUAUUAUGUGAACAAUAUUUACAUUACAGUUACACAUUACAAAACUAGAUUGAAGCGAGUCUCACAGUAAGACUUUGUGUGGAACACUGAUUCGGGCUGAGGCCAACAUGGUGAUAAAUGAUCUAGUGGUUAAUUAAUUAUAGUUCUAGGCCUAAGUAAUUAUUCAUUCUGAUUUAUUAACUCUGAGGUAAAAGUAACUGUAAACAGUGCAAUUCCUUCUGUAAUGUGCAUGCUUUUUUUUAUUUUAUUGCAUUUGGG